AGUGAACGCUGGCGGUAGGCCUAACACAUGCAAGUCGAACGGCAGCACAGGAGAGCUUGCUCUCUGGGUGGCGAGUGGCGGACGGGUGAGGAAUACAUCGGAAUCUACUUUUUCGUGGGGGAUAACGUAGGGAAACUUACGCUAAUACCGCAUACGACCUACGGGUGAAAGCAGGGGAUCUUCGGACCUUGCGCGAUUGAAUGAGCCGAUGUCGGAUUAGCUAGUUGGCGGGGUAAAGGCCCACCAAGGCGACGAUCCGUAGCUGGUCUGGGAGGAUGGUCAGCCACACUAGAACUGAGACACGGUCCAGACUCCUACGGGAGGCAGCAGUGGGGAAUAUUGGACAAUGGGCGCAAGCCUGAUCCAGCCAUACCGCGUGGGUGAAGAAGGCCUUCGGGGUGUAAAGCCCUUUUGUAGGGAAAGAAAUCCAGCUGGUUAAUACCCGGUUGGGAUGACGGUACCCAAAGAAUAAGCACCGGCUAACUUCGUGCCAGCCGCCGCAGUAA
This 506-nucleotide ribosomal RNA is filed under the name uncultured bacterium. RNAcentral describes it as "partial 16S ribosomal RNA". It matches the Rfam family "Bacterial small subunit ribosomal RNA", at positions 29 to 523 of the family's 1533-position model. The record is from RNAcentral.